Molecule: ribosomal RNA, 520 nt
Filed under: uncultured Acaulospora
Lineage: Eukaryota; Fungi; Glomeromycota; Glomeromycetes; Diversisporales; Acaulosporaceae
Description: SSU rRNA
Rfam family: Eukaryotic small subunit ribosomal RNA
Source: RNAcentral
AGCAGCCGCGGUAAUUCCAGCUCCAAUAGCGUAUAUUAAAGUUGUUGCAGUUAAAAAGCUCGUAGUUGAAUUUCGGGAUUUAUCCGUCGGUCGGGCUUUUGGGUCUGUACUGGCGUGAUGAAUUCCUACCUUCUGAAUAACCGGCAUGUCAUUAAUUUGGUGCGCUGGGGAAGCAGGACUGUUACCUUGAAAAAAUUGAGUGCUUAAAGCAGGCUAUUGCCUGAAUACAUUAGCAUGGAAUAAUGAAAUAGGACGGCAUGGUUCUAUUUUGUUGGUUUCUAGGAUCACCGUAAUGAUUAAUAGGGAUAGUUGGGGGCAUUAGUAUUCAAUUGUCAGAGGUGAAAUUCUUGGAUUUAUUGAAGACUAACUUCUGCGAAAGCAUUUGCCAAGGAUGUUUUCAUUAAUCAAGAACGAAAGUUAGGGGAUCGAAGACGAUCAGAUACCGUCGUAGUCUUAAACCAUAAAACUAUGACCGACUAGGGAUCGGACGAUGUUAAUUUUUAAUGACUUCGUUCGGCGU